CGGCGAGUGAAGCGGCAACAGCUCAAAUUUGAAAUCUGGCCCCUAGGGUCCGAGUUGUAAUUUGUAGAGGAUGCUUUUGGUGAGGUGCCGCCCGAGUUCCCUGGAACGGGACGCCGCAGAGGGUGAGAGCCCCGUCUGGCUGGCCACCGAGCCUCUGUAAAGCUCCUUCGACGAGUCGAGUAGUUUGGGAAUGCUGCUCAAAAUGGGAGGUAUAUGUCUUCUAAAGCUAAAUAUUGGCCAGAGACCGAUAGCGCACAAGUAGAGUGAUCGAAAGAUGAAAAGCACCUUGAAAAGAGGGUUAAACAGUACGUGAAAUUGUUGAAAGGGAAGCGCUUGUGACCAGACUUGGGCGCGGCGGAUCAUCCGGGGUUCUCCCCGGUGCACUUCGCCGUGUUCAGGCCAGCAUCAGUUCGGCGCGGGGGAAAAAGGCUUCGGGAACGUGGCUCCUCCGGGAGUGUUAUAGCCCGUUGCAUAAUACCCUGCGCUGGACUGAGGACCGCGCAUCUGCAAGGAUGCUGGCGUAAUGGUCACCAGCGACCCGUCUUGAAACACGGACCAAGGAGUCGUCUUCGUAUGCGAU
Molecule: ribosomal RNA, 580 nt
Filed under: Trichoderma atroviride
Lineage: Eukaryota; Fungi; Ascomycota; Sordariomycetes; Hypocreales; Hypocreaceae
Description: LSU rRNA
Rfam family: Eukaryotic large subunit ribosomal RNA
Source: RNAcentral